UCUUGGUCAUUAGAGGAAGUAAAAGUCGUAACAAGGUUUCUGUAGGUGAACCUGCAGAAGGAUCAUUAGUGAAGAUUUGGGCAGGCCAUACGGACGCCAAAAAGUGUCCCUGGCCGCCUACACCCACUAUACAUCCACAAACCCGUGUGCACUGUCUUGGAGAAAGGCUUCAGAGAAGUUUUUUGUGGCCUCUCUUGGGGUCUUUCUUCGCUACAAACUCGAAUGGUUAGUAUGAACGUGGAACUUGGUUGGACCGUCACUGGCCAACAAACUAUACACAACUUUCGACAACGGAUCUCUUGGUUCUCCCAUCGAUGAAGAACGCAGCGAAACGCGAUAGGUAAUGUGAAUUGCAGAAUUCCGUGAAUCAUCGAAUCUUUGAACGCACCUUGCGCUCUAUGGCAAUCCGUAGAGCAUGCCUGUUUGAGUGCCAUGAAAUCUCCCACCCCAAGCGGUUUUUAAAUGAAACGGCUUGGCGGAUGGGGUCUGGAUGGGUGCCUCUGCCUGCGCUACCUAGCACAGGCUCGCCCGAAAUGCAUGAGCGCCUUGAGACACUUUGCAUCCGCCUCUCUGUUUGGGAGGAGGCGGCCAAGCAGUGUUUUUCUCCUGGCAUGGCAUGAUACGUCAUUUGCUAUGUCGCCUAAAGGAGGAAUGUUUGGUUGUGUCUGCGUGUGCUUCGAACUUGCCUCUGUGGCACAUCCCAAUUUCACUUCUGGUCUCAAAUCAGGUAGGAUCACCCGCUGAACUUAAGCAUAUCAAUA
This 761-nucleotide ribosomal RNA is filed under the name uncultured Malassezia. RNAcentral describes it as "eukaryotic LSU rRNA". The stretch from base 280 to 433 matches the Rfam family "5.8S ribosomal RNA". The record is from RNAcentral. Lineage: Eukaryota; Fungi; Basidiomycota; Malasseziomycetes; Malasseziales; Malasseziaceae.